AAAUGAAUUGACGGGGACCCGCACAAGCAGCGGAGCGUGUGGUUUAAUUCGAAGAUACGCGAAAAACCUUACCAAGACUUGACAUCGUACGACCGGGGUAGAGAUAUCCCUUUCCGUAGCAAUACGGACGUAUAGACAGGUGGUGCAUGGUUGUCGUCAGCUCGUGUCGUGAGAUGUUGGGUUAAGUCCCGCAACGAGCGCAACCCUCAUAAGCAGUUGCCAAUAUUAAGUUAGGAACUCUGAUUAGACUGCCGUGGAUAACACGGAGGAAGGUGGGGAUGACGUCAAAUCAUCAUGCCCCUUACGUCUUGGGCUACACACGCGCUACAAUGGCUACUACAAAGAGCAGCGAAGGGGCAACUCGGAGCGAAUCUCAUAAAAGUAGUCUCAGUUCAGAUUGUGGGCUGCAACCCGCCCGCAUGAAGACGGAGUUGCUAGUAAUCCCGAAUCAGCAUGUCGGGGUGAAUGCGUUCCCGGGUCUUGUACACACCGCCCGU
This 497-nucleotide ribosomal RNA is filed under the name uncultured bacterium. Its description in RNAcentral is "bacterial SSU rRNA". It matches the Rfam family "Bacterial small subunit ribosomal RNA", at positions 903 to 1397 of the family's 1533-position model. The record is from RNAcentral.